This 253-nucleotide ribosomal RNA is filed under the name uncultured bacterium. RNAcentral describes it as "partial 16S ribosomal RNA". It matches the Rfam family "Bacterial small subunit ribosomal RNA", at positions 524 to 776 of the family's 1533-position model. The record is from RNAcentral.
UACGUAGGGGGCUAGCGUUGUCCGGAAUCAUUGGGCGUAAAGAGCGUGUAGGCGGCCCGGUAAGUCCGCUGUAAAAGUCAAAGGCUCAACCUUUGAAUGUCAGUGGAUACUGCCGGGCUAGAGUCCGGAAGAGGCGAGUGGAACUCCUGGUGUAGCGGCGGAAUGCGCAGAUAUCAGGAGGAACACCGGUGGCGAAGGCGGGUCUCUGGGCAGUAACUGACGCUGAGGAGCGAAAGCGUGGGGAGCGAACAGG